AGCUAGCUGACGAGUUCCAAAUAGGACGAAAUGCGCAUCCUGACUGGAU
RNAcentral lists this non-coding RNA (49 nucleotides) under Trichobilharzia regenti. Lineage: Eukaryota; Metazoa; Platyhelminthes; Trematoda; Strigeidida; Schistosomatidae. The record is from RNAcentral.